RNAcentral lists this ribosomal RNA (580 nucleotides) under uncultured bacterium. RNAcentral's name for it is "bacterial SSU rRNA". It matches the Rfam family "Bacterial small subunit ribosomal RNA", at positions 102 to 693 of the family's 1533-position model. The record is from RNAcentral.
AAGGGAGAGGAUAAGGUAGAAAUCUACCCUCGGGACGGGGAUAGCUGCGGGAAACUGCUGGUAAUACCCGAUAAUAUCUUUGGAUCAAAGGUGUGAUUCCGCCUGGGGAUGAGUCUACUUCCUAUUAGCUAGUUGGCAGGGUAAUGGCCUACCAAGGCAACGAUGGGUAGCGGGUGUGAGAGCAUGACCCGCCUCACUGGGACUGAGAACUGCCCAGACACCUACGGGUGGCUGCAGUCGAGAAUCUUCGGCAAUGGGCGCAAGCCUGACCGAGCGACGCCGCGUGCGGGAUGAAGGCCCUCGGGUUGUAAACCGCUGUCGUAGGGGAACAAAUGUAAGUGGGUUCUCCCAUUUACUUGAGUGAUCCUAGGAGGAAGGGGAGGCUAAGCUCGUGCCAGCAGCCGCGGUAAGACGAGCUCCCCGAACGUUAUUCGGUAUUACUGGGCUUAAAGAGUUCGUAGGCGGCCCGACAGGUGAGGUGUGAAAUCCCUCGGCUCAACCGAGGAACUGCGCUUCAAGCCGUCAGGCUUGAGGGAGAUAGAGGUGAGCGGAACAGAUGGUGGAGCGGUGAAAUGCGUUG